CACGUAGUUAGCCGGUGCUUAUUCUUACGGUACCGUCAUGAGUCCAACGUAUUAAGUCAAACCUUUUCGUUCCGUACAAAAGCAGUUUACAACCCGAAGGCCUUCAUCCUGCACGCGGCAUGGCUGGAUCAGGCUUGCGCCCAUUGUCCAAAAUUCCCCACUGCUGCCUCCCGUAGGAGUCUGGGCCGUGUCUCAGUCCCAGUGUGGCUGGUCGUCCUCUCAGACCAGCUACAGAUCGUCGGCUUGGUGAGCCUUUACCCACCAACUACCUAAUCUGAUAUCGGCCGCUCUAAUCGCGCGAGGUCUUGCGAUCCCCGCUUUCAUCCAUAGAUCGUAUGCGGUAUUAGCGUAACUUUCGCUACGUUAUUCCCCACGACUGGGCACGUUCCGAUACUUUACUCACCCGUUCGCCACUCGCCACCAGGAUUGCUCCCGUGCUGCCGUUCGACUUGCAUGUGUAAGGCAUGCCGCAGCGUUCAAUCUGAGCCAGGAUCAAA
RNAcentral lists this ribosomal RNA (497 nucleotides) under uncultured Curvibacter sp. Its description in RNAcentral is "partial 16S ribosomal RNA". The record is from RNAcentral. Lineage: Bacteria; Pseudomonadati; Pseudomonadota; Betaproteobacteria; Burkholderiales; Comamonadaceae.